This 497-nucleotide ribosomal RNA is filed under the name uncultured bacterium. Its description in RNAcentral is "partial 16S ribosomal RNA". It matches the Rfam family "Bacterial small subunit ribosomal RNA", at positions 28 to 507 of the family's 1533-position model. The record is from RNAcentral.
GACGAACGCUGGCGGCGUGCCUAAUACAUGCAAGUUGAGCGCUGAAGGUUGGUACUUGUACCAACUGGAUGAGCAGCGAACGGGUGAGUAAAGCGUGGGGAAUCUGCCUUUGAGCGGGGGACAACAUUUGGAAACGAAUGCUAAUACCGCAUAAAAACUUUAAACACAAGUUUUAAGUUUGAAAGAUGCAAUUGCAUCACUCAAAGAUGAUCCCGCGUUGUAUUAGCUAGUUGGUGAGGUAAAGGAUCACCAAGGCGAGGAUACCUAGCCGACCUGAGAGGGGGAUCGGCCAGAUUGAGACUGAGACACGGGCCAAACGCCUACGGGAGGCAGCAGUAGGGAAUCUUCGGCAAUGGACGAAAGUCUGACCGAGCAACGCCGCGUGAGAGACGAAGGUUUUCGGAUCGUAAAACACUGUUGGUAGAGAAGAACGUUGAUGAGAGUGGAAAGCUCAUCAAGUGACGGUAACUACACAGAAAGGGACGGCUAACUACGUG